Molecule: ribosomal RNA, 682 nt
Filed under: Shewanella sp. CAL615
Lineage: Bacteria; Pseudomonadati; Pseudomonadota; Gammaproteobacteria; Alteromonadales; Shewanellaceae
Description: bacterial SSU rRNA
Rfam family: Bacterial small subunit ribosomal RNA
Source: RNAcentral
CUUGCUCCUGAGGUGACGAGCGGCGGACGGGUGAGUAAUGCCUAGGGAUCUGCCCAGUCGAGGGGGAUAACAGUUGGAAACGACUGCUAAUACCGCAUACGCCCUACGGGGGAAAGGAGGGGACCUUCGGGCCUUUCGCGAUUGGAUGAACCUAGGUGGGAUUAGCUAGUUGGUGAGGUAAUGGCUCACCAAGGCGACGAUCCCUAGCUGUUCUGAGAGGAUGAUCAGCCACACUGGGACUGAGACACGGCCCAGACUCCUACGGGAGGCAGCAGUGGGGAAUAUUGCACAAUGGGCGAAAGCCUGAUGCAGCCAUGCCGCGUGUGUGAAGAAGGCCUUAGGGUUGUAAAGCACUUUCAGUAGGGAGGAAAGGCAGUUGUUUAAUAAACAACUGCUGUGACGUUACCUACAGAAGAAGGACCGGCUAACUUCGUGCCAGCAGCCGCGGUAAUACGAGGGGUCCAAGCGUUAAUCGGAAUUACUGGGCGUAAAGCGUACGCAGGCGGUUCAUUAAGCUAGAUGUGAAAUCCCCGGGCUCAACCUGGGAAUUGCAUUUAGAACUGGUGAACUAGAGUCUUGUAGAGGGGGGUAGAAUUUCAGGUGUAGCGGUGAAAUGCGUAGAGAUCUGAAGGAAUACCGGUGGCGAAGGCGGCCCCCUGGACAAAGACUGACGCUCAUGUAC